GUGCUCACUUUGGCAGCACAUAUACUAAAAUUGGAACGAUACAGAGAAGAUUAGCAUGGCCCCUGCNCAUGUAUG
RNAcentral lists this small nuclear RNA (75 nucleotides) under Cervus elaphus hippelaphus. The record is from RNAcentral. Lineage: Eukaryota; Metazoa; Chordata; Mammalia; Artiodactyla; Cervidae.